AUGUCUGCUUGCACACCACCAUGUCACAGGAUGAUGAUAAUGGAGUAAAUCUCUGAACUGUGGACAGGACAUCAACUUCCUAACACUUGCAUGUUUGUUUACGUAAGAGACAAAACACAUCUCAGCAGAUGCCCAAAGAACUGGCCUACGAGCAACCUGAAGGCACGAGAUACAGCCCAGCAGAGGCAAGGGACUGGAUUCUUUCCUCCCGCGGGUGGGUCUGCAGCAGUGGCUGCAACAGUGGACUGAAGAGGUGUCCAACACAGGGCAUUGGAUGUAUGGUGCCUUCACCCUACACUGGUAUUGGGUGGAAAGUGACCUUCCAGGACCUGGAGCAGAGAGACUACUAUUAAAUGUUAUGUAGUUUACCAGGUUGUUCUUUCAGAAUGUUCCAUGAGAAGACCUCAACCUCAAGGACGGCGAUCUCAUGAGACUACAGUGGAGCUGUACCCUAUGGACAUGGAGACUGCUGUAACAUUGUAGAACGAGACAUCACUUUGUGUUUAUGGAGAUGUUGGGGUAAACCAGCCCACCACACUUCCCGCUGUAUGAAAGCACAGCACACAU
This is a non-coding RNA of Peromyscus maniculatus bairdii (prairie deer mouse), 567 nucleotides long. NCBI's taxonomy places the organism in Eukaryota, Metazoa, Chordata, Mammalia, Rodentia, Cricetidae. The record is from RefSeq and is a predicted model, not a curated record.